CCUACGGGAGGCAGCAGUGGGGAAUAUUGGACAAUGGGCGAAAGCCUGAUCCAGCAAUGCCGCGUGAGUGAUGAAGGCCUUAGGGUUGUAAAGCUCUUUUACCAGGGAUGAUAAUGACAGUACCUGGAGAAUAAGCUCCGGCUAACUCCGUGCCAGCAGCCGCGGUAAUACGGAGGGAGCUAGCGUUGUUCGGAAUUACUGGGCGUAAAGCGUGCGUAGGCGGUGAUUCAAGUCAGAGGUGAAAGCCUGGAGCUCAAACUCCAGAACGGCCUUUGAAACUAGAUCGCUAGAAUUAUGGAAGAGGUAAGUGGAAUUCCGAGUGUAGAGGUGAAAAUUCGUAGAUAUUCGGAAGAACACCAGUGGCGAAGGCGACUUACUGGACAUAUAUUGACGCUGAGGUACGAAAGCGUGGGGAGCAAACAGGAUUAGAUACCCUGGUAGUCCACGCCGUAAACGAUAGAUAACUAGCUNUUCGGGCUCUCAGAGCUUGAGUGGCGCAGCUAACGCAUUAAGUUAUCCGCCUGGGGAGUACGGUCGCAAGAUUAAAACUCAAAAGGAAUUAGACGG
RNAcentral lists this ribosomal RNA (567 nucleotides) under uncultured bacterium. RNAcentral describes it as "bacterial SSU rRNA". It matches the Rfam family "Bacterial small subunit ribosomal RNA", at positions 338 to 916 of the family's 1533-position model. The record is from RNAcentral.